This 622-nucleotide long non-coding RNA is filed under the name Phaseolus vulgaris (common bean). RNAcentral's name for it is "long non-coding RNA (PVUL_LNC001054)". Lineage: Eukaryota; Viridiplantae; Streptophyta; Magnoliopsida; Fabales; Fabaceae. The record is from RNAcentral.
AUCUUAUACACUCAAAUGUGCGUAAUAAAUUAUGCAAAAUCUAGUCAUGUUUGGAAUGACAUUGAUUGUGAUAUAAACUAAUUCAAAAUACUGUAGUGUUUUAGAUGGACUACUAUAAUUUCAAAAGAUCGUGAGAUAUAUGUUUUUUCCUCUUUCUUUUCAAUCUUUAAAUUACACGUGACAAUUUUGUUUAUGUACAUGUUGUAAUUUGUCUGUGUAAUGUUUGAUAACUAUAUUUUUGUGAAAAAAGAGAAGUGAACUGAAAUUGAAUUUUAUGCAUCUAUGAUGAUUUAAUUUAUUCUAGUUGGGCUUUAUAUAGGAGUAGGAAUAUUUUCAUAUUGACUUUGAAAAUUUUAUGAAUUAGUUCAAUAAAGAGAAAAAAGAAUGUCAAAUCUCAUUUAGUACUCAUACAUUUUGUUGUACCAGGAUAUGUGCUGGAUGGGAUGUGUAUUAUGUGCCAUUAUUGUGGUGCGGGCUUGCAAAUUCUGCGAAUAAGAAACAGGAUAAUGAGAGUAGUCUGAAGUUCAAUGUUAAAGUUUCCAUUAGGCCUUGAAAAUCCUGAGGAAAGAAGCUAGAGUGAGCAAAGGCCAAGUGGUGUAGUAAUAGUCCAGUUAGGAAAUUC